RNAcentral lists this ribosomal RNA (497 nucleotides) under uncultured bacterium. RNAcentral's name for it is "partial 16S ribosomal RNA". It matches the Rfam family "Bacterial small subunit ribosomal RNA", at positions 28 to 507 of the family's 1533-position model. The record is from RNAcentral.
GAUGAACGCUGGCGGCGUGCCUAAUACAUGCAAGUCGAGCGAACAGACGAGGAGCUUGCUCCUCUGACGUUAGCGGCGGACGGGUGAGUAACACGUGGAUAACCUACCUAUAAGACUGGGAUAACUUCGGGAAACCGGAGCUAAUACCGGAUAAUAUAUUGAACCGCAUGGUUCAAUAGUGAAAGACGGUUUUGCUGUCACUUAUAGAUGGAUCCGCGCCGCAUUAGCUAGUUGGUAAGGUAACGGCUUACCAAGGCAACGAUGCGUAGCCGACCUGAGAGGGUGGUCGGGCACACCGGAACUGGGGCACGGUCCCGGCCCCUACGGGAGGCCGCAGUAGGGAAUUCUCCGGAAUGGGCGAAAGCCUGACGGAGCAACGCCGGGUGAGUGAUGAAGGUCUUCGGAUCGGAAAACUCUGGUAUUAGGGAAGAACAAAUGUGUAAGUAACUGUGCACGGCUUGACGGUACCUAAUCAGAAAGGCACGGCUAACUACGUG